Molecule: transfer RNA, 73 nt
Filed under: Mustela putorius furo (domestic ferret)
Lineage: Eukaryota; Metazoa; Chordata; Mammalia; Carnivora; Mustelidae
Also listed under: 1 other name
Rfam family: tRNA
About the family: Transfer RNA (tRNA) molecules are approximately 80 nucleotides in length. Their secondary structure includes four short double-helical elements and three loops (D, anti-codon, and T loops). Further hydrogen bonds mediate the characteristic L-shaped molecular structure. tRNAs have two regions of fundamental functional importance: the anti-codon, which is responsible for specific mRNA codon recognition, and the 3' end, to which the tRNAs corresponding amino acid is attached (by aminoacyl-tRNA synthetases). tRNAs cope with the degeneracy of the genetic code in two manners: having more than one tRNA (with a specific anti-codon) for a particular amino acid; and 'wobble' base-pairing, i.e. permitting non-standard base-pairing at the 3rd anti-codon position.
Source: Rfam by way of RNAcentral
ACCUGGCUGGCUCAGAUCCUAGAGCACGUGACUCUUAAUCUACGGGUCAUGGGUUCGAGCCCCAUGCUGGGGC